Molecule: ribosomal RNA, 468 nt
Filed under: uncultured bacterium
Lineage: Bacteria
Description: partial 16S ribosomal RNA
Rfam family: Bacterial small subunit ribosomal RNA
Source: RNAcentral
GAUGAACGCUGGCGGCGUGCUUAACACAUGCAAGUCGAGCGGCAACGCGCUGCUUUUGUGCGGUGCUCGAGUGCGGCGCGGGGGAGAGUCACGUGAGUGACCUUCCCUUGACUUUGGGAAAACUUCCGGGAACGGGGACUAAUACCCGAAAGGAGUUCCUGCUGCAUAGUGUUGAUUGGCUAGUGUCGGCGGUUGGGGUUGGUCUCGGGGCUUAUCAGCUUGUUGCUGGGGUAGUGGCUUACCAAGGCUUUGACGGGUAGCCGGCCUGAGAGGGGGACCGGCCACACUGGGACUGAGAUACGGCCCAGACCCCUACGGGAGGCAGCGGUGGGGAAUAGUACACAAUGGGCGGAAGCCAGACGCAACAACGCCGCGUGCGGGAAGACGUGCUUCGGGUUGUAAACCGCUCUCGCCUGUGACGAAGCGAGAGUGACGGUAAUGGGUAAAGAAGCACCGGCUAACUACGUG